GCCACUUUAGCUCAGUUGGUAGAGCAACGCUUUCGUAAAGCGUGGGUCGCAAGUUCAAGUCUUGUAAGUGGCU
RNAcentral lists this transfer RNA (73 nucleotides) under Sediminibacterium sp. Its description in RNAcentral is "tRNA-Thr". It matches the Rfam family "tRNA". From Rfam's summary of the family: Transfer RNA (tRNA) molecules are approximately 80 nucleotides in length. Their secondary structure includes four short double-helical elements and three loops (D, anti-codon, and T loops). Lineage: Bacteria; Pseudomonadati; Bacteroidota; Chitinophagia; Chitinophagales; Chitinophagaceae. The record is from RNAcentral.